This 405-nucleotide ribosomal RNA is filed under the name uncultured bacterium. RNAcentral's name for it is "bacterial SSU rRNA". It matches the Rfam family "Bacterial small subunit ribosomal RNA", at positions 354 to 776 of the family's 1533-position model. The record is from RNAcentral.
GUCGGGAAUAUUGCGCAAUGGAGGAAACUCUGACGCAGUGACGCCGCGUAUAGGAAGAAGGUUUUCGGAUUGUAAACUAUUGUCGUGAGGGAAGAAGAUGACAGUACCUCAGGAGGAAGCUCCGGCUAACUAUGUGCCAGCAGCCGCGGUAAUACAUAGGGAGCAAGCGUUAUCCGGAAUUAUUGGGUGUAAAGGGUGCGUAGACGGGAAAUUAAGUUAGUUGUGAAAUCCCUUGGCUUAACUGAGGAACUGCAACUAAAACUGAUUUUCUUGAGUACUGGAGAGGAAAGUGGAAUUCCUAGUGUAGCGGUGAAAUGCGUAGAUAUUAGGAGGAACACCAGUGGCGAAGGCGACUUUCUGGACAGUAACUGACGUUGAGGCACGAAAGUGUGGGGAGCAAACAGG